ACCAAUUUCAAUAUCUUAUCCUUGGGAUUUGGGAAGCCAUUGACCUCAGCAACUGAUUCUAUUCUGAGAUCAGGUCAUAAAAAGCAUGGACUGAGAUCAAACCUUCCUUUUAUGCUGCCUUGUUAGCUAGGAGAUCCAUAACAACGAGCUCAAAGCAAUCAGCUUGGACGUCAACCAUUAUCCUCACCCACUUUACAAUUACACCUCUCUGCGUGUUCUUGAGCCUAUCAGCGGUUUUGGCAUGGCUAAAGUUUUGGAAUCUGGGGAUGCAAAGUUUAAGCAAGGCGACUUGGUUUGGGGAAUGACUGGCUGGGAAUGGUAUGCGUGGUUUGACUGCCUAUGCUGGUUUUUAUGAGAUCUUCUCUCCUAAGAAAGGAGAGACGGUCUUCGUUUCAUCGGCAUCAGAAGCGGUAGGUCAGCUUGUUGGCCAAUUUGCCAAGUUGGCCAGGUGCUAUGUUGUUGGGAGUGCUGGAAGCAAAGACAAGGUUGAUUUGCUGAAGAACAAGUUUCGCUUUGACCAGAAAGUCAGUAAAAUGGAUCACAAAAGAGGUGGACUAAAGCAUGCACAAGUUUGGUUUAUGGGAAAUAAGUGAAGGUUUCACUCUUCAAUACUUUCACAGCAGAGUAAUUGAAGAGCGGAUGCAGACGACAACUUUUAGUCCUCUCCAAUUGCACUCUUCUUUCCUUAUAAUUGCAUUUUCUACUUAAGAAAUGCCUGGGUUUUUUAGUUUAUGGGUUGUUGACAUUCUUUCACAACUGUGUGUAUAUUUGGAAUCAAUUUCAGUUUCACUUCAUUGAUUCGUUUUUACAUAUUGUAAUCGUUGAAUGUAAAUUAGUUUUCCCUCUUUGAAUAUUGCAGUAGCAGCUUGGUUCA
Rosa chinensis is the source of this 874-nucleotide long non-coding RNA. RefSeq lists it as uncharacterized. The transcript has 4 exons. Lineage: Eukaryota; Viridiplantae; Streptophyta; Magnoliopsida; Rosales; Rosaceae. The record is from RefSeq and is a predicted model, not a curated record.